Non-coding RNA from Otolemur garnettii (small-eared galago), 75 nucleotides. NCBI's taxonomy places the organism in Eukaryota, Metazoa, Chordata, Mammalia, Primates, Galagidae. The record is from Rfam.
GUGCCUGUAGCUCAAAGGAGUAGAGCGCUGGUCCCAUAUGCCAGAGGUGGUGGGUUCAAACCUGGCCCUGGCCCA